UACGUAGGUGGCAAGCGUUGUUCGGAUUUAUUGGGCGUAAAGCGUGCGUAGACGGUAGCGUAAGUCAGAUGUGAAAGCCCCGGGCUCAACCUGGGAAUUGCAUUUGAGACUGCUCUGCUCGGGUGCGGAAGAGGGAAGCGGAAUUUCCGGUGUAGCGGUGAAAUGCGUAGAUAUCGGAAGGAACACCAGUGGCGAAAGCGGCUUCCUGGUCCGACACCGACGUUCAGGCACGAAAGCGUGGGGAGCAAACAGG
RNAcentral lists this ribosomal RNA (253 nucleotides) under uncultured bacterium. RNAcentral describes it as "partial 16S ribosomal RNA". It matches the Rfam family "Bacterial small subunit ribosomal RNA", at positions 524 to 776 of the family's 1533-position model. The record is from RNAcentral.